RNAcentral lists this ribosomal RNA (498 nucleotides) under uncultured bacterium. Its description in RNAcentral is "partial 16S ribosomal RNA". It matches the Rfam family "Bacterial small subunit ribosomal RNA", at positions 28 to 523 of the family's 1533-position model. The record is from RNAcentral.
GAUGAACGCUAGCGGCAGGCCUAAUACAUGCAAGUCGAACGAUAGUGAGAAGCUUGCUUCUCACGAAAGUGGCGCACGGGUGCGUAACGCGUAUGCAACCUACCUUAAUCAGGGGGAUAGCCCGAAGAAAUUCGGAUUAACACCGCAUAAAAUCACAGUAUAGCAUUAUACAAUGAUCAAAUAUUUAUAGGAUUAAGAUGGGCAUGCGUGACAUUAGUUAGUUGGCGGGGUAACGGCCCACCAAGACCACGAUGUCUAGGGGAUCUGAGAGGAUGACCCCCCACGAUGGUACUGAGACACGGACCAGACUCCUACGGGAGGCAGCAGUAAGGAAUAUUGGUCAAUGGAGGCAACUCUGAACCAGCCAUGCCGCGUGCAGGAAGACAGCCCUCUGGGUCGUAAACUGCUUUUAUUCGGGAAUAAACCUAUCUACGUGUAGAUAGCUGAAUGUACCGAGGGAAUAAGGAUCGGCUAACUCCGUGCCAGCCGCCGCGGUAA